UCUUCUUGCUUUAUUUAUUUAUUCCAGAAUGACUUCUGCUCAGAAGGCUCUUCCUGUUGCCUUCUCGACUUGCACGCUCUGAUGAAACAAGCUGCAGUGCCGGCGAGGCCCGUGUGACAAGGCAUGCACAGUGGCCUCCGGCCAACAGUCAGCUCGGAAGUGAGGCCCGCAGUCCGGCUUCCCUCAAGGAACUACGCUGUCAGCAAUGUCUUUAGCAAAAGCCCGGAGCAGAUACAGCCCCUGUUGAGCUCCCAGCCCUGGCUGACACAUUGACUCAGCCUUGGGAGAGACCCUGAGCAGAGGACUCAACCAAACCAUGCCCAUAAUUCUGACCCAGAAUAACUGAGGCAGUAAUAAACAUGUGUUGUUUUAA
Non-coding RNA from Microcebus murinus (gray mouse lemur), 373 nucleotides. NCBI's taxonomy places the organism in Eukaryota, Metazoa, Chordata, Mammalia, Primates, Cheirogaleidae. The record is from RefSeq and is a predicted model, not a curated record.